This 201-nucleotide ribosomal RNA is filed under the name uncultured eukaryote. RNAcentral describes it as "partial 18S ribosomal RNA". It matches the Rfam family "Eukaryotic small subunit ribosomal RNA", at positions 1299 to 1458 of the family's 1831-position model. The record is from RNAcentral.
UGGUGGAGUGAUUUGUCUGGUUAAUUCCGAUAACGGACGAGACCUCGAUCUACUAACUAGUGAGCAUAAACGUCUAACGGGUGAAGGCCUAGUGCUGGGCGGCAGCUUGCUGUCGUCUACUCUGGGUUGGAUCCUUGAUGAUUUGAGUAAACUUCUUAGAGAGACAAUCAAGGUUUACUUGAAGGAAGUGAGGCAAUAACA